CAGGUCUGUAGCAAUACAGAUGCUGGCGACCGGCAAACGGGUGCGGAACACGUACACAACCUUCCUUUAAGUGGGGAAUAGCCCGGGGAAACCCGGAUUAAUACCCCGUAACAUAUCGAAAAGGCAUCUUUUUAAUAUUAAAGCUCCGGCGCUUAAUGAUGGGUGUGCGCCUGAUUAGGUAGUUGGCGGGGUAACGGCCCACCAAGCCUUCGAUCAGUAACUGGUGUGAGAGCACGACCAGUCACACGGGCACUGAGACACGGGCCCGACUCCUACGGGAGGCAGCAGUAAGGAAUAUUGGUCAAUGGACGCAAGUCUGAACCAGCCAUGCCGCGUGGAGGAUGAAGGUCCUCUGGAUUGUAAACUUCUUUUAUCUGGGACGAAAAAGGGUCUUUCUAGAUCAACUGACGGUACCAGAUGAAUAAGCACCGGCUAACUCCGUGCCAGCAGCCGCGGUAAUACGGAGGGUGCAAGCGUUAUCCGGAUUCACUGGGUUUAAAGGGUGCGUAGGUGGGUCUGUAAGUCAGUGGUGAAAUCCCCGAGCUUAACUUGGGAACUGCCAUUGAUACUAUAGCUCUUGAAUACUGUGGAGGUCAGCGGAAUAUGUCAUGUAGCGGUGAAAUGCUUAGAUAUGACAUAGAACACCAAUUGCGAAGGCAGCUGGCUACACAAAUAUUGACACUGAGGCACGAAAGCGUGGGGAUCAAACAGGAUUAGAUACCCUGGUAGUCCACGCCCUAAACUAUGGAUACUCGACAUUUGCGAUACACUGCAAGUGUCUGAGCGAAAGCAUUAAGUAUCCCACCUGGGAAAGUACGAUCGCAAGAUUGAAACUC
This 836-nucleotide ribosomal RNA is filed under the name uncultured Flavobacteriaceae bacterium. Its description in RNAcentral is "bacterial SSU rRNA". It matches the Rfam family "Bacterial small subunit ribosomal RNA", at positions 70 to 902 of the family's 1533-position model. Lineage: Bacteria; Pseudomonadati; Bacteroidota; Flavobacteriia; Flavobacteriales; Flavobacteriaceae. The record is from RNAcentral.